GGCUAAGGGGUGCAACUCCCUAACCAUCGUGAACGUUACCCAACCGUUGCUUCGGCGGGCGGCCCCAGUGGCCCCCGGCCCCGCGAGGGGCGCCCGCCGGAGGUUAACAAACCCUUGAUACUUAAUGGCCUCUCUGAGUCUUCUGUACUGAAUAAGUCAAAACUUUCAACAACGGAUCUCUUGGUUCUGGCAUCGAUGAAGAACGCAGCGAAAUGCGAUAAGUAAUGUGAAUUGCAGAAUUCAGUGAAUCAUCGAAUCUUUGAACGCACAUUGCGCCCGCCAGUAUUCUGGCGGGCAUGCCUGUCCGAGCGUCAUUUCACCCAUCAAGCCCCCGGCUUGUGUUGGGGACCUGCGGCUGCCGCAGGCCCUGAAAACCAGUGGCGGGCUCGCUGUCACACCGAGCGUAGUAAUAUCAUCUCGCUCAGGGCGUGCUGCGGGUUCCGGCCGUUAAACGACCUUUCUAACCCAAGGUUGACCUCGGAUCAGGUAGGAAGACCCGCUGAACUUAAGCAUAUCAAAAGCCCGGAGGAA
This 531-nucleotide ribosomal RNA is filed under the name Chaetomium trigonosporum. RNAcentral describes it as "eukaryotic LSU rRNA". The stretch from base 161 to 314 matches the Rfam family "5.8S ribosomal RNA". The record is from RNAcentral. Lineage: Eukaryota; Fungi; Ascomycota; Sordariomycetes; Sordariales; Chaetomiaceae.